Scomber japonicus (chub mackerel) is the source of this 364-nucleotide long non-coding RNA. RefSeq lists it as uncharacterized. The transcript is spliced from 3 exons. The record is from RefSeq and is a predicted model, not a curated record. NCBI's taxonomy places the organism in Eukaryota, Metazoa, Chordata, Actinopteri, Scombriformes, Scombridae.
AAGACAACAGCUCUGAGGAGGCAGGUGGAGAAAAGGGAGAAGAAGAAGCAGAAGAAGAAAGAGAGAAAAAAGAGUAGAGAGAAAAAAAGAGAGCAAAGGGACGGGACCAGAGAGAGUGAGGGUGAGAGGGUAGGUAGUGAGAUUGGGUCAGAGAGAGAGACUGACAGCAGAGCAUACAUUUCCCAGAGGACACAGCCUGAGAACGAGAGAGACUGCUGAGAAGUUCAGUCUGACAAAAUGCCGAGGAGGAGAAGCGUGUCAUUUGGUGGAUUUGGAUGGAUCGACAAGUCCACCUUGUCUGCACUAAGAGCCCGGAAACAGGAACUGUUAAACAUCUCCAACGUCCCUCUGGGAGAAUGUCCCC